Molecule: ribosomal RNA, 437 nt
Filed under: uncultured bacterium
Lineage: Bacteria
Description: partial 16S ribosomal RNA
Rfam family: Bacterial small subunit ribosomal RNA
Source: RNAcentral
AGCGAACGCUGGCGGCAGGCUUAACACAUGCAAGUCGAGCGGGCAUCCUUGUGGUGUCAGCGGCAGACGGGUGAGUAACGCGUGGGAACGUGCCCUUCGGUUCGGAAUAACUCAGGGAAACUUGAGCUAAUACCGGAUACGUGCGAGAGCAGAAAGGUUUAUCUGCCGAAGGAUCGGCCCGCGUCUGAUUAGCUAGUUGGUGAGGUUAUGGCUCACCAAGGCGACGAUCAGUAGCUGGUCUGAGAGGAUGAUCAGCCACACUGGGACUGAGACACGGCCCAGACUCCUACGGGAGGCAGCAGUGGGGAAUAUUGGACAAUGGGGGCAACCCUGAACCAGCCAUGCCGCGUGAGUGAUGACGGCCUUAGGGUUGUAAAGCUCUUUUCUUCGGGACGAUAAUGACGGUACCGGAGGAAUAAGCCCCGGCUAACUUCGUG